This 406-nucleotide ribosomal RNA is filed under the name uncultured bacterium. RNAcentral describes it as "partial 16S ribosomal RNA". It matches the Rfam family "Bacterial small subunit ribosomal RNA", at positions 30 to 526 of the family's 1533-position model. The record is from RNAcentral.
AUUGAACGCUGGCGGCAGGCCUAACACAUGCAAGUCGAACGAGUGGCGGACGGGUGAGUAAUAUCUGGGAACCUGCCCGAUGGAGGGGGAUAACUACUGGAAACGGUAGCUAAUACCGCAUACCAUCGGAUGUGCCCAGAUGGGAUUAGCUUGUUGGUGGGGUAACGGCUCACCAAGGCGACGAUCCCUAGCUGGUUUGAGAGGACGACCAGCCACACUGGGACGGAGACACGGUCCAGACUCCUACGGGAGGCAGCAGUGGGGAAUGUUGGACAAUGGGGGAAAGCCUGAUGCAGCCAUGCCGCGUGUAUGAAGAAGGCCUUCGGGUUGUAAAGUACUUUCGGCGGGGAGGCGUUACCCGCAGAAGAAGCACCGGCUAACUCCGUGCCAGCAGCCGCGGUAAUAC